This 258-nucleotide ribosomal RNA is filed under the name uncultured bacterium. RNAcentral's name for it is "partial 16S ribosomal RNA". It matches the Rfam family "Bacterial small subunit ribosomal RNA", at positions 524 to 776 of the family's 1533-position model. The record is from RNAcentral.
GACGAGAGGAGCCAAGCGUUGUCCGGACUGACGUGGGCGUAAAGCGCACGCAGGGCGGCGCUGCGCGUGGGGUCGUGAAAGGCUCUUGGCUUAACUGAGAGAGGCCAUCCCAUACGGCAGUGCUCGAGCGGUGCAGAGGUCCGCGGAAUUGCCGGUGUAGUGGUGAAAUGCGCAGAUAUCGGGAAGAACACCCGUGGCGAAGGCGGCUCUCUGGGACGGUACUGACGCUGAGACGCGAAAGCGUGGGGAGCGAACAGG